UACACACGGAUAACAUACCGAAAGGUAUGCUAAUACGGGAUAAUAUAUUUGAGAGGCAUCUCUUAAAUAUCAAAGGUGAGCCAGUACAGGAUGGACCCGCGUCUGAUUAGCUAGUUGGUAAGGUAACGGCUUACCAAGGCGACGAUCAGUAGCCGACCUGAGAGGGUGAUCGGCCACAUUGGAACUGAGACACGGUCCAAACUCCUACGGGAGGCAGCAGUGGGGAAUAUUGCACAAUGGGCGAAAGCCUGAUGCAGCAACGCCGCGUGAGUGAUGAAGGCCUUCGGGUCGUAAAACUCUGUCCUCAAGGAAGAUAAUGACGGUACUUGAGGAGGAAGCCCCGGCUAACUACGUGCCAGCAGCCGCGGUAAUACGUAGGGGGCUAGCGUUAUCCGGAUUUACUGGGCGUAAAGGGUGCGUAGGCGGUCUUUCAAGUCAGGAGUGAAAGGCUACGGCUCAACCGUAGUAAGCUCUUGAAACUGGGAGACUUGAGUGCAGGAGAGGAGAGUGGAAUUCCUAGUGUAGCGGUGAAAUGCGUAGAUAUUAGGAGGAACACCAGUUGCGAAGGCGGCUCUCUGGACUGUAACUGACGCUGAGGCACGAAAGCGUGGGGAGCAAACAGGAUUAGAUACCCUGGUAGUCCACGCUGUAGACGAUGAAUACUAGGUGUCGGGGGUUACCCCCUUCGGUGCCGCAGC
RNAcentral lists this ribosomal RNA (698 nucleotides) under uncultured bacterium. RNAcentral's name for it is "bacterial SSU rRNA". It matches the Rfam family "Bacterial small subunit ribosomal RNA", at positions 134 to 852 of the family's 1533-position model. The record is from RNAcentral.